AAGACUGUCUUUUUUCACAGAAGAGCGUAUUUUUGUCGUUUUCCAAUGUUUUCUAGUGAUAUUUUCCAUAUUUUCUGCCAAAAUGCGACCGUCCGUGCCGCUAAUCAGGAGAUCUGCUACAUUCUCGCUGAAUUACGAAUCUGAUGGGGAUAAAAUUCACCCGGUGUGUGUUCAGAGACGGUCCAUAUCGCUGGAUUCGUUCUUGAGAGAUCGACAAAGAUUGUUGGAGAAAAAAUCUUCGAUAUUCCCGAUUUCGCGGAGAGGUGUGAAGGAAGAAAUAGAUCUGAGACGACAUCGCGGGUAUCAUUGUGCCCCACUGUGCAUGUCCAGCGAUACCGUCGGGCCUUUGCCAGGAGAUGGGCCACCGUGGACACGUCGACGUCAUCGAGUGAUGAGGAAAAUGUAGACGUUGACGUCAUCGCCGCCAAACCAGAUGAUCGCGAAGAAGUGAAGGAGGACAAGAUAGAACCCAUUCCCACUGGUGCUGAUUUCUCAAAUGUUUUUCGCGAACGCUCGACCACAUGGGCCGGCGAAUACAUUCAGUCUUACAUAUACCCGCCACUACGGUCUACUAGAAGCGACAACCAGGGCGUGCUGCUGUUCUACAUGGACAAACCCCAAA
Molecule: long non-coding RNA, 622 nt
Organism: Pectinophora gossypiella (pink bollworm)
Lineage: Eukaryota; Metazoa; Arthropoda; Insecta; Lepidoptera; Gelechiidae
Exons: 4
Source: RefSeq, a predicted model, not a curated record